UGGGGAAUUUUGGACAAUGGGCGAAAGCCUGAUCCAGCCAUGCCGCGUGCAGGAUGAAGGCCUUCGGGUUGUAAACUGCUUUUGUACGGAACGAAAAGACUCUGGUUAAUACCUGGGGUCCAUGACGGUACCGUAAGAAUAAGCACCGGCUAACUACGUGCCAGCAGCCGCGGUAAUACGUAGGGUGCAAGCGUUAAUCGGAAUUACUGGGCGUAAAGCGUGCGCAGGCGGUUAUAUAAGACAGAUGUGAAAUCCCCGGGCUCAACCUGGGAACUGCAUUUGUGACUGUAUAGCUAGAGUACGGCAGGGGGGGAUGGAAUUCCGCGUGUAGCAGUGAAAUGCGUAGAUAUGCGGAGGAACACCGAUGGCGAAGGCAAUCCCCUGGGCCUGUACUGACGCUCAUGCACGAAAGCGUGGGGAGCAAACAGGAUUAGAUACCCUGGUAGUCCACGCCCUAAACGAUGUCAACUGGUUGUUGGGUCUUCACUGACUCAGUAACGAAGCUAACGCGUGAAGUUGACCGCCUGGGGAGUACGGCCGCAAGGUUG
RNAcentral lists this ribosomal RNA (548 nucleotides) under uncultured bacterium. RNAcentral describes it as "bacterial SSU rRNA". It matches the Rfam family "Bacterial small subunit ribosomal RNA", at positions 355 to 896 of the family's 1533-position model. The record is from RNAcentral.